This is a long non-coding RNA of Prionailurus viverrinus (fishing cat), 1425 nucleotides long. RefSeq lists it as uncharacterized. The record is from RefSeq and is a predicted model, not a curated record. The transcript has 3 exons. NCBI's taxonomy places the organism in Eukaryota, Metazoa, Chordata, Mammalia, Carnivora, Felidae.
GCCUGGUGAAUGGGCCCACUUCCGGCCUCCCCUUCCCAGAGAAGGAUUGUCUGGUUGACGGAGGGGGGCGGGCGCUCUGAAUGGAAAGACCCCCUUGCCCAGGGAAAGCAGACUCAGCUGAAUUCAAAAGUGAUACAGGGAACUCUCUCGUAAGGUGGGCUGAGGCCACGUAAGGAGGGCCUUGAGUGCCAGAGUGAGUCCUGGGGAGGUCUGGAAAGUCGGCCAGCCGGAGAGGGGGUGCUGCUUCCUUCUCCAGGGGCUUCUCUGUCGGUCCACCUACCACCUACCCCUUGCCUGGCUGCGGCUCACCAUUUCAGGAGCUGCAGCGUUGGAACUAUGCAAACGGCUUUCUGGAACUUCUCGGAACUAGCCUGCAUUGUUAAAGAAGACAAAACGGGUUCAGAGUAAUCUGCAAAGAACGGGGCACAAUUGAAGCGGCAAGCCCGGAGCGUGAACCCUCAAGCCGGAGGUGAAGCAUUCCUCCAUUGUUCACGGAAGCACGGGGAACCUCACUGCCACAGAACGGACGUGAGCGUCGAACCACAAAAUUCCGGCAGGGCCCCGAGCUUCCAGGCUUGGUGCAGACUCACGGCUGCAGCGACUGGGGUCCUACCUGGUUUUUGCUCACCUCUGGGACCGAAGUUCCUGGAAGCUGGGAUCAGGUGAUACACAUCUGGCGGCCCCCCCGGCAGACUGCAGGACAGCAGACAGCGCUCAGGGGACGCUCCCAGAGCUGCACAAGUCAGACGGGCACCUAGGGAAGAAGGAAGGACCAGGGAGAAUGGACUGGAAAGGGGACGUGAGUGGAAGGAGAGACCGUGGCACCUGCCCAGGCAGGACGAGACAGAAGAACCAAACACAUGCAAUGAGAACCAGCAAGGAAAACCAGGUCUAAGACAAAAACAACCCUGCGAGGACUCGUGGCAGAUUAGAUAUUACAGAAAAAAAGAACAUGAACCUGAAGACAUAGCGGUAGAAAUUCUCCAAAAUGCAAAAGAGGAGGAACAGAAGGCAGGUGAGGGAGCACCAAGCGCCGGCGGGUUCUGGCACAACAUCGGGCUGCCCGACACGCGUGCGGUCGGGGUCCCUGACGAACCGCACGAGAUGUCACCACUUGCCCGUUAGAAGAUCUAAAAUGGAAAAGACUCCCCAUUCUCAGUGCCGGUGAGGGUGCGGGCGACCGGCACUCCCCCACGGUGUGGGUGAGCGGGUCAGAGCGUCCGUCCGCUCUGGAAAACCUUCCGGCGGAUUCUCCUAAAGCUAAGCGUACGUGUGUCUGCCAUGUGACCCGGCCACCCCUCCCGGGAAUUUACCGAAGGGACAUGGAAGGAGACGGCCUCCUAAAGCCUUGUGCACAAACGUUUGUGGCAGCUUUAUUUGUAACAGCCCCAAACCGGAAAUGACCCGGUGCCUUCCGGCAGGGAA